This 253-nucleotide ribosomal RNA is filed under the name uncultured bacterium. RNAcentral describes it as "partial 16S ribosomal RNA". It matches the Rfam family "Bacterial small subunit ribosomal RNA", at positions 524 to 776 of the family's 1533-position model. The record is from RNAcentral.
UACGUAGGGUGCGAGCGUUAAUCGGAAUUACUGGGCGUAAAGCGUGCGCAGGCGGUUUUGUAAGCCAGAUGUGAAAUCCCCGGGCUCAACCUGGGAAUGGCAUUUGGGACUGCAAGGCUCGAGUGCGGCAGAGGAGACUGGAAUUCCUGGUGUAGCAGUGAAAUGCGUAGAUAUCAGGAGGAAUACCGAUGGCGAAGGCAGGUCUCUGGGCUGACACUGACGCUCAUGCACGAAAGCGUGGGGAGCGAACAGG